UCUCUCUCUCUGUCUCUCACUGCAAAUUUACUAAAGUGUAUAUUACAUAUAAUAAAACUCAUCCCACAUUUUAAGUGUACAGAUUACUAAGUUUAGGUAACUGUGUGCAGUUUUGUAAGCAUGAUCACGAUACAUUACAAAACAUUUACAUUACCUCAGAAAGUUGCCUCGGGCCUCUUUGAAAUGAAUUCCCUUCCUCAAUUCCCAGACCCAAGCAGUACUGAUCUGCUGUCUAUCAUAAACAUUGCCUUUUCCAGAAUUUCAUAUAAAUGGGACCAUACAGAAUUUAAUGUUUUACCACCUUCACUUAACAAAGGUUUUGAAAUUCGCCUAAGUUGUGUGUAUCAAUAGUUUGCUUCUUUUCAGCCUACAAAGGUCCACCACCACCAACCUAGCUCUCUAGGCUGUUAGGAGCUUGCCACCAGUGUUCCACCUGGGCCAGUCCCCAUCCUCUGAGGAGGUAACAUCAUCCUGACUUCACUCCCAGUCACAAGAUCGAUCAGCAUCCAUCCACAGACAAGACACCACUGAGAAAAAUCCCAGAACCCAGGGGUGAGACUGAAGCACCCCCCUAGACAGCAGACACCAAGACAGACCAUAUUAUAAGGGGAAGCAGAUUUGGAUUCUCUAAUCCUACCCAUCCCGGAAGUCUGGCCAGCGAACCGGGGCAGUUGCAGAGCAAAGCCAGGCCCGCGUCUUGCCCAACUGUUGAGCACGGUCUCUGGUCCCACAUAGCCUGGGAGCCUGAACAGCGACCCUGGGCAGCCUUGGAACACAGCCCGCUGUACCACCAAACCGUGGAGCCGUCCACAGCCUACCCAGCAGAGGAGCCCAGCCUAUGAAGAAAGAGUGCGCAAACAGAAGAGGGGCAGAAAGAGAAGGAGAGAGAGAUCCCAAGUAUGCUCAGUGCUGUCAGCACAGAGCCUGACACUGGGCUUGAACUCACGAACCAUGAGACCAUGACCUGAGUUGAAAUCAAGAGUGGGCUACUUAACGGACUGAGUCACCCAGGCACCGCCCCCCCCCUGCUUUUUUUUAUUUUUAGAGAAAGAGAGAGAAAGUGAGUGGAAGCAGGGGCAAAGGCGGGGGGAGGGACAGAGGCACAAGGAGUGAGAGAGAAUCCCAAGCAGGCUCCAAGCCCAGCCCGGAGCCUGAUGUGGGGCUCUCUAUCUCACAACCCUGAGAUCUUGACCUGAGCCGAAAUAAAAAGUCAACCUAUUAACCAACUGAAACACCCAGGUUCCCCAGUUGGUUUGCUUUUAGAGGCUAGUGGAUACGAAGCUCAUCUUUACAACACAGUUGAUAAGAGCAAUAGAAAUGCUUUGCAUAAGGCACUAGGUGUCACAAUAUUGGGGUGGUAGAUGCUUCCUCAUUGGAGAUAUAGGGUUGAGAAGUAUUUUUAAAGCAUACUUACAAUAUGUAAGUAUAGUCUUAUAACUACCACUUAUUCUCUGCUUAUAUGAGCUCAACUUUUUUAGUAGACUGGGGGUAGGGGAAAUGUGGAGAUGUAGGUCAAAAUGUACAAAGUUUCAGUUAUGCAGGAUGAGUAAGUUCUCAUACCUAAUGUACAGAGGGGUUACUAUAGUUAAUAAUCCUGUAUUGUGUACUUGAAAUUUGCUAAUAGAGUUGAUCUUAAAUGUUGUCAUUACCAGAACAACAAAAACAAAGGUAAUUAUGUGAGGUGAUGAAUAAUGUAAUUAGCUUGAUUGUGAUAAUCACUUAACAAUGUGUACCUAUAUGAAAAUAUCACAUUGUACACCUUAAGUAUAUAUCAUUUUUAUUUGUCAAUUAUACUUUAAUAAAACUGAA
Molecule: long non-coding RNA, 1809 nt
Organism: Acinonyx jubatus (cheetah)
Lineage: Eukaryota; Metazoa; Chordata; Mammalia; Carnivora; Felidae
Exons: 3
Source: RefSeq, a predicted model, not a curated record